CUCUCGGUAGCCAAGUUGGUUUAAGGCGCAAGACUGUAAUGGUUUAACAAGACAUCUUGAGAUCGGGCGUUCGACUCGCCCCCGGGAGA
The sequence is a transfer RNA, 89 nucleotides long. It matches the Rfam family "tRNA". From Rfam's summary of the family: Transfer RNA (tRNA) molecules are approximately 80 nucleotides in length. Their secondary structure includes four short double-helical elements and three loops (D, anti-codon, and T loops). Further hydrogen bonds mediate the characteristic L-shaped molecular structure. tRNAs have two regions of fundamental functional importance: the anti-codon, which is responsible for specific mRNA codon recognition, and the 3' end, to which the tRNAs corresponding amino acid is attached (by aminoacyl-tRNA synthetases). tRNAs cope with the degeneracy of the genetic code in two manners: having more than one tRNA (with a specific anti-codon) for a particular amino acid; and 'wobble' base-pairing, i.e. permitting non-standard base-pairing at the 3rd anti-codon position.